RNAcentral lists this ribosomal RNA (466 nucleotides) under uncultured bacterium. RNAcentral describes it as "partial 16S ribosomal RNA". It matches the Rfam family "Bacterial small subunit ribosomal RNA", at positions 339 to 795 of the family's 1533-position model. The record is from RNAcentral.
CUACGGGGCGCACCAGUGGGGAAUAUUGGACAAUGGGGGAAACCCUGAUCCAGCAAUGCCGCGUGUGUGAAGAAGGCCUGCGGGUUGUAAAGCACUUUCGGUUGGGAGGACUGCUUCUAGCACUAAUAUUGUUGGAAGUUGACGUUACCUUCAGAAGAAGCACCGGCUAACUCCGUGCCAGCAGCCGCGGUAAUACGGAGGGUGCAGGGCGUUAAUCGGAAUUACUGGGCGUAAAGCGCGCGUAGGCGGCUAGAUCAGUCGGGUGUGAAAGCCCCGGGCGUAACCUGGGAACUGCAUCCGAUGCUGUCUAGCUUGAGUACAGGAGAGGAGAGGGGAAGUCCACAUGUAGCGGUGAAAUGCGUAGAUAUGUGGAGGAACACCAAUGGCGAAGGCAGCUCUCUGGCCUGAUACUGACGCUGAGGUGCGAAAGCGUGGGGAGCAAACAGGAUUAGAUACCCCCGUAGUC